Long non-coding RNA from Anas platyrhynchos (mallard), 4034 nucleotides. RefSeq lists it as uncharacterized. The record is from RefSeq and is a predicted model, not a curated record. Lineage: Eukaryota; Metazoa; Chordata; Aves; Anseriformes; Anatidae.
GCUAAUUUCUUUCCAUGCUGUCUAUAGGAAGCCAGGUGGGCCUUUGUGUUUUCUGGAUUAGGAGCAACUGACACGCUCUUGGUUUCAUAGCUGUGAGCAGUGCUUCAAAGGUAUAAUUCUGCAGAAGGGGGCUCCUAGGAUGUGCAAGCAAAAAAACAGAGGGCCAGGAAGCUGUACGAAGGCCCUGGAGGUGCACCAAGUAGCUCUACAUGAGUUUCUCCAGCUUUGAAUGAUGUGAAGAUUUUAAGGGCAGCUCUGAGAUUGCUUGUGUGACAACUGAAAAUUCACAGAUGAAAGAAAUGAAGGACAAAAGUAAAGACAACUGUCACUUUGCUGAGGUUUCCAGUUUACAAGCAGUCAAGGAAAUCCUAAUUCGGAAGCAUUUCAGACCUACAAACCUACAAGGCUACUCUGGGCUACCCUGCUGUCAUAGACAGUGAAUGUAUCCAGAAUCAUUGGGUGACCUCCCCAAAAUGUGCCAUGAAGGAAAGCACUGAAUUUUAAGGGGAAGAUCUGCCUUCUGCUUGUAGGAUGAACCUCACUAAAUGAAGAGCCACCAAAGGAGAAAAGGAGUUCAGAAGGGAUGAUUGCUGACGGUAUGGGCUACUGGAUAACAGCAAUAAUUAUACCAUUUCUUCCUGGAUGGAGAUAACACUAUACAAGGACCUUGAUGGCUGAGGAGGGCAGAAGGCAGGCUCUGACACCCCAUCAGUCUCCACCUGAGAGGACAAUAUUAUAUUCCUCCCUAUGAAAACGUUGGAAGUAGUGCUAAAGCUCUGUAGCAACAUGGAUGGAGAUGUUUACGAGUCAGUCUUCAGUUCUAAACUGUGCUUCCCAACAAUGAUUCAAAUCAAAUAAUGAUUAAAAGCAGUUUAAUCAUCCAGCCUGUACUUUGCCACCAUUACAAAAAAAAAACAACAAAAAAAAAACAAUAAAACAAUGACAAAAAAAAAAAACCCUCUUCUCACAUAACCUGGGGCUCUAUAUUAGUACUUGGAAAAACCUCUUGUGACUCAGCAACAGAACAUUGUACCUUUGAAAGGAUUUAUGCACACAUUUGAAAAUGCUCUGUAUUAUUGAUGGUUGUGGUAUUAUUGAUACCACAAAAUUUGAGCUACAUGCAAGUUCAUAAAACUCAUCAAUGUGUGUUGACAGUUUAUAUUAUAAUUUGACAAGUAAAGAACACUUCUUCAUUUGAUGAUUUUCAUCUGUAACUGAUGACACAUGCAUUUUAUGCUAAUGACGGCCUGAAUUUGACCUAUUUAACCUGUUAUUUUGGUUCUAAAGUACAAAGAUUAUAAUGGAUUUUUUUUUAUUUUUUUAUUUUUUGGAUUUAUUUUUUGAAACCUUGCUUCUUUAAAAUAUCUAGAACAACAACAAAAAAGUUUUAAUUUUAUUAAAAUAGCAGCUGCACGGUGCUUUAAGUUUCUAACUUUGGUCUUUUGUACGCUAUAAAAUCCAUUCUUAACUUACCAGCAUAACUCUCAUUAAUUAAUUAAGCUUUCCAUUUGAUUUCCAGACAUGUGUAUUAUAUAGGAUCUAGUCCUUGUUGGAAAGAUUUGCUCCAGAAUUUAGCUUUUUAAGGAGGAAAAGUUCUCCAUGAAAAAUCGCUUUUACAUUUCUCAUGAAAUAAAAAGAAUUUUGCAAAUUAGAAUAGUAGAAAAGCUAUCUGUCUUGCUGACCUUGCAUUCCCAAAUCUACAGAGUUCAAAAUGUAGUAUUUAAAGGUGUCUGAUGUUCUCUUCAGGUCUUUAGCUUUGUAACCUAAGGUUAUAGGGUAAAUGUCAGUUAUCUUAGUUAUUACUUCCAGUUUCAUGAUUACCCCAAGAUCAAUGCUUUUUAUGUAGUAUCUCCAAUUACUAGUUUAAAAAUCUUUUAACUGUUCAAUCUGGGGAAUUUAUAUAAAAAUGAACAAUGUAGAAGAUUCAGUACUGGUUUUUCUGCUCAGCAUUCUGCAUUCUUCAACUCCUCAAAUUCACAAUCAUGUCUUAAGAACAGAAUUUUUGCUUGCCCAAGUAACUACAGCUGUGAUGCCAGCAUAUCAGAACAAUUCAGUGUCACGUUAUCACAGCAACAGUAAGGCCACUGUAUUUUAACAAAAGCAGAACAGACAAUGAAGACAUAAUCAUAUGAUAUGAAUUUUUUCUUGAGACACACAAGACAAAGCCCCACCUAAUGAAACAGUAGUCCUGUUUUCUUUCAGUUAGACAUCUGAGUUUUGGAAUGGCUUAGUCCAUACGGAGCAAUCUUUGUUUCACUUUCCAGGCCAGAACAAAUUUAUGCCCAGCUUACUUGGUACACACAUAAAGAAACUCAGAUCUGUCUGCAGCCAUGUGUAUAUGCUUGCCAUAUCUUGAACUCUUUUCUUCUGUGCAGAGCUGUAUAGGUAGGAAGCAGGAUCAGAAUCAUAGCAACUAUUCUCCUUUCUCAUGCUAAAAUAUUCUGAUGGAUCACCAUCAGCUGCCAAGCCUUCUGCUGCAAUUUUGCCCUGGGAAAUGUGGCAUAAGGUGAAGAUUUUCUGUGAGAGUUCACAAAAUAUAUGCUUUCACCAUAUCAGGAGGUACUUCUGCAUCCUGUGAAGAGGUGGUGGCUGAGUCAGCAUGGUCCACUCCUCCUUCAAGUGAGGUAGGACUAUAUUCAUCUUUCUGGGGAUAAAUAUCAUAUUUUUGACUUAAUUUGCAGAUGCUAUUUUUGCAUCUCAUCUAUGAAAAUCUGGUAGCAAAAAUUCCUAAUUUGAUUUGCACAUUGAAAACAACAUUAACCAUCACAACUAUCUUCCAACAUCUCUUUUUAUCUGGAUUUUUUAUAAGAACAUAUCUUUUAGCAUAAUAAGUGUUAUUCCUGAGAACAUCUUGUGUAUUUGCUUGUUUUGUUUAGAACCUGGUUUUCAUUUUCUCAUCUGUAUUUCUCAUAGCAUGAAUAGAUACUCAAGGGGUACCUCUGCUUACUAGAUACAGAUUGAACUAUAAGAUGAGCUGUUGAGUGGUGAGUGAUGUGGGCUCAGGAACAAUGGAACUCUAGCUGGUGAGACACCCAUAUAAUGGGAUUUAUUUCUUUUCUAUCAUAUUCUCCUUUCCACAUCUUUUCUUUGUCUUACUGAAGGUGGUAUAAUCCUUUUGGGAUCUAUCAGAGAACUUCAGCCUUUUAAUGGCUGAUUUCCUAACAAGGACUGACUUCACUCACCAGUCAGUCAUUCUUAAAAUAAAAACCAAUAAAACUUUUCCCUUGGUGUAGCAAAAGGAACUCUUGAAAUACCAGUGGAGGAUUUUCUUUAUCUGCUUGGAUGCUAAAGGAAACAGAAUCUUCCUAAUGUACCAAGCAGAAAGAUGAGCUCAAUGAGCUGAUAAUUCUGUAAGCAUUUUUACCACCGCAUCAUGAAAUGGUUGCUAUGGAGAGAAGUUGCUAUGGCUGCUAAAGUGACUGUAAAGCAAUGUUUCUUCCUUUGUUUUCAUGAAAGACCUUAUGAUUUGCACUUGAAAUUAAAUCUGCUUUUCUUAAGGAACACAAAAUAUCCCAACACCAUGCAUUUUACUUGAAUCAAGAGGAUAAAAAAAAAAAACAAAAACAAACAAACAAAAAAAAACACAACACAAUGCCUGCCUUACUGGAAACCUGCUCAAUAACUAAACAUUCGUUGUAAUUUCAACUAAAACUAUGGGAUACAUAUAUGUUGUUCCUCACUGUCUCCUAUUUCCUCUGCACUUUCUGCUGCCCAUUUGAGAUGUUAAUUGCCUGAAGAUAAAAUUGUUCUCCCUUUCAUCUGUUGAUCUAGUCGAACUGUUUCUCAGUAUUCUAAACUCAAUUAGUUAUCCAGCUCCUAUUGACUUCUGUCAAGAAAUGUAGCAGUAUGAGCUAAUGUGUUCUGAGUGUAUUGCCUGAAAUAUGAUGACCAUGGUACUGCUAUGGGCAGUUUUCUAUUACAUGUAAUUAAGGUAACCUCAGUAUUAUUAUUUUUUUUCUGUGAUAUGUAGACCUUUGCAAUCAAAUAUGUUGUGGAUAUGGAAAAAAAAAAAAUAAAUAUAUUAUUGCCUGGAA